UGGGGAAUAUUGCACAAUGGGGGAAACCCUGAUGCAGCGACGCCGCGUGAAGGAAGAAGUAUUUCGGUAUGUAAACUUCUAUCAGCAGGGAAGAAAAUGACGGUACCUGACUAAGAAGCCCCGGCUAACUACGUGCCAGCAGCCGCGGUAAUACGUAGGGGGCAAGCGUUAUCCGGAUUUACUGGGUGUAAAGGGAGCGUAGGCGGCGAUGCAAGUCAGAAGUGAAAGCCCGGGGCUCAACUCCGGGACUGCUUUUGAAACUGUGUUGCUAGAUUGCAGGAGAGGUAAGUGGAAUUCCUAGUGUAGCGGUGAAAUGCGUAGAUAUUAGGAGGAACACCAGUGGCGAAGGCGGCUUACUGGACUGUAAAUGACGCUGAGGCUCGAAAGCGUGGGGAGCAAACAGGAUUAGAUACC
RNAcentral lists this ribosomal RNA (414 nucleotides) under uncultured bacterium. RNAcentral's name for it is "bacterial SSU rRNA". It matches the Rfam family "Bacterial small subunit ribosomal RNA", at positions 355 to 786 of the family's 1533-position model. The record is from RNAcentral.